CAGAGCUGGCUGUCUACCCUUGUGAGGCCUCUGAAAGCAUUACGGGUCUCUUUGACCAAGCCUUCACCUUUUCCAUUCAAAGGGUCUUUCUGAGCAGCCUUUGUCAACAGCUGGGGAGUUGUGGUAUACCCUGCAACAACAGUGUCUGCCUUGGAGUGCGGCCAAAGUGUGCGGCCUGAGGACCCUGGCCCUGUUAGGAGACGCCAAGUGAGAGACAACAGUCCAGCGACGGCAGGAGCUUCCAGGACAGCAAGGCGGCCUUCUUCUGCACCCGAGGCAGAUUCACAUCCCCGGACCUCCGAGAGCUAAGUCGAGGCUUGUGACCCACAGAGGGGGUGACAGCGGGGUGUUGAGUUGGGACUCGCCGGGAGGGAUUUUUGAGUCAGAUUUGGAGGUGGGGAUGUUCAAGAAGGGGCCCCUUAGGCCAGCACAAAGGGAAAAUCUCAUGUUUGACCACAAUGCUGAGGUCUGCAGGGCAGAGCAGUCCUGGUGCACGUCACUUGUCCCUUGUGUGUUCUCUGUCUUUUGGGCAUCUCGUGUCACAGUUCUUUUGCCUUAGCCCUUUGAGAUGCUUAUCACAAACGCUGGGCGUUAUUCUUAGCAUCUCUGCUCUUGGUGUUCUUCAGUGUGGUGCUGAUACCAUCGAUCCUUUGACUCUUGAGCUUGGAACUUCAUCAGAAUUGCGUCUCCUUAGCAAUAUCGAGUCGGGUGUCUUUUCAGGCCUUGUUCUGAGCUGCAUCGACAGCUGUGCACCACAAUGAUCCAUUACAGGGGAUGAGGACUUGUAAGAAUGCGAGGACAGCUAGAGGAU
Long non-coding RNA from Corvus hawaiiensis (hawaiian crow), 811 nucleotides. RefSeq lists it as uncharacterized. Lineage: Eukaryota; Metazoa; Chordata; Aves; Passeriformes; Corvidae. The record is from RefSeq and is a predicted model, not a curated record. The transcript has 3 exons.